UGGGGAAUAUUGCACAAUGGGCGCAAGCCUGAUGCAGCCAUGCCGCGUGUAUGAAGAAGGCCUUCGGGUUGUAAAGUACUUUCAGCGGGGAGGAAGGUGUUGAGGCUAAUAACCUCAGCAAUUGACGUUACCCGCAGAAGAAGCACCGGCUAACUCCGUGCCAGCAGCCGCGGUAAUACGGAGGGUGCAAGCGUUAAUCGGAAUUACUGGGCGUAAAGCGCACGCAGGCGGUCGGUCAAGUCGGAUGUGAAAUCCCCGGGCUCAACCUGGGAACUGCAUUCGAAACUGGCAGGCUAGAGUCUUGUAGAGGGGGGUAGAAUUCCAGGUGUAGCGGUGAAAUGCGUAGAGAUCUGGAGGAAUACCGGUGGCGAAGGCGGCCCCCUGGACAAAGACUGACGCUCAGGUGCGAAAGCGUGGGGAGCAAACA
RNAcentral lists this ribosomal RNA (427 nucleotides) under uncultured bacterium. RNAcentral's name for it is "partial 16S ribosomal RNA". It matches the Rfam family "Bacterial small subunit ribosomal RNA", at positions 355 to 774 of the family's 1533-position model. The record is from RNAcentral.